Molecule: long non-coding RNA, 6677 nt
Filed under: Bemisia tabaci
Lineage: Eukaryota; Metazoa; Arthropoda; Insecta; Hemiptera; Aleyrodidae
Description: lncRNA ENSSSA1UGG002779
Source: RNAcentral
AACAUGGCUCACGUCAUAAUGCACAUAGUUCCGUCUGGCAGAUAUACGUCCACUUGAGAGCAUGCGUGAUAUAAAUAUCGACGGUGUAAGUCCGCAACCACGUAUCUUGGUUACCGACGUCGUAGACUUCCUGCCAUACUUUAUAUUUUAAACAGAAAACUACUCAACGGCAAUGGAGAUGUUGCAUGUGUGAGGAUUUUGCGAUUUGACUGUUGAUUCCUCUGUAAAAGUUUGCGAGAAACACGAUGGUGCUACUGGUUUUCUCUGAAAUCAACUCCCAAGCUCAAAAAAAGCUCUCAAGUUGAGGCCAAAAUGGAGGGAAUAUCCCACCCUACCCUGAGAGUCCACCUCUACAUCAAGACAAACUCUCCAUGCAAAGAUAGGGAGCAAAUACACUGACAGGGCUGCCACUUUAUUUGGGGACUCCAAAACUGAAAACACGGCAACCCUGCUAAUGUAUUUGCUCUCAACCUUUGCAUGGAGAGUUUAAGUCUUGAUUUAGAGGUGGACUCUCAGGGUAGGGUUGGAGAUCCCCUCCAUUUUGGCCUCAACUUAAGAGCUUUUUUUGAGCUUUGGAGUUAAUUUCAGAGAAAAACCAGUGGCACCAUCGUGUUUCUCACCAACUUUUACAGAAGAAUCAUCAGUCAAAUCGCAAAUUCCUCACACAUGCAACAUCUCCACUCUUUAAAACUGCCGUGCUUUUUCUUCUCUGUGCGAAGAAAAUUCAGCAAAAACUUCAAGGAAUGACGUCAAUUUGCUCUCCUUCAAAAAAAUAAUAUAGAGGCGGAGAUUCUCGUACACCGCAAAUGAGAUACGCGGUUGCGGACUUACGCCGUUCAUAUGAGGAACGCAGAUAAAAACAGAACCCUUUUUUUUGGAGAGCGAAAAUUUCACGGAGGAGUAGCGAUGGGGGAAUCUGAAACCUAGUAGUCAACUUGUUUUUAGAUCAUGAGGAUCUCCGUGACGGUGCUAUUCUUGGUUUUCUCCGUUUUAGAUCUGCCCAGUUUUACCGUUGCUCCUACAGCAUCUGAGGCUGGGUCAGAUGUCCAAGUCGACAAUUCUAAAACGGCAUGGUGGAACUGGGGCCGUGAGCGUUUCUCUCGGAGCUUCUCUUCCGGGACCACCACCAAAUUCUUCAGAAGAAAACGGACAUCAAGCAGCAAGAGACUAAGAAGAACAGUUUCAAAAGCUAAUGAGUGGUUGGAACUUGAGCAAAAUCAUGGAGACCUACGGACACAAGUUCAACAAAUAGAAACAAAACUGAUCAAGUACUUUGCGCAGGAAUCUGUCGACGGCUCUCUGCUCUUGGCCGAUAUCGCAGAUGAGAGACAAAUCUUCAGAUAUCAAUCCAAAUUAGCUAUGUCGAACCCGGCCCCGGAUAUGCCGGACCAAUUCCCCAUGCAUUUAACACAAGAGGAGAAAGAUGAAGAAAGGAACGUUCAAAACUUCGGAAAGCACUGUAUCCGCCGGUGCUUGCACAUCUACGGCUACGUCUUCGCUCCGUUGCAGGAGGGUUGCUCGGCAGAGUUCACCAUGAGUGACGAAGUUGUCACGAAAGACAAAGGGGUCAUCAUCCCCCUGACCGACGGAAUAGUCGAAUACCUGGGUGAAGUGGGUCCAGCUCCUAAGCCCAAGGGUCGCAAGGGUAGCAACACACCCUCACCGAGUCGGACCUCCUCAAACAGCCCCCCGAACGAGUUGAGACUCGUUCGGCAAAAUUCGUUCCAAAACGUCGUGUGCCACUGCAAGACCAGGGAAGAUCUCGGCGCGCUGUUUCUGGAUAAUGGUAUCAAAAUGAACGGUUUCAAGAGCUCCAAAACCAAAUCAUCGCAUGCAGCGCUUAAGAAGUUGCGAAACAUUUUUCAGACGAAAAAGAAUGUCAUCAACCUACUCGGGCAUCGGGAGGCCAUGGGGCUUAUCUAUGUACAGAUGAGCAAAGCGUUAGGACCCGAGCGUCAAAUAAAUGUGACGCAUGCCGAAAGCCGGACGACAGUUAUGGAGGCAAUGGGUGUUGAAAUUCAUGGGCUGAGGGAACCGCUGGAAAUCAUGGGACAUAAAGUACCAUUUAGCAAGAAAUACCGUGGGAAUUACUGGUGGGAUGUCCAAAUUUAGAGGAGAUCAAAUUUAUCGAAAUAUAUGGGAAGCACGACCUAUUGGCCCGAUAGAACGAUAAAGGAAUUUAAGGAAUGGGCAUAAUGAGGCUAAAAUAUGCACAGAAACUUUAGAGCUGACAUAAAGCUUGUGUGCUUCUUAUAACCACUUUCUCUGCGGUGGGGGGAAGAAAACUCUAUGGCUUAUUCUAUGUAGGGGGUAGUGGUUGAUUCAUUUUUAUGGAGCGGUAGGGGGCUAAUUAUUGAAAUUGAUAGACAAAGCGAUAAGCAAAGAAGACAUAGGGAGUAUGGAGCGAUCCUAUUGGUUGAAAUUGGUGGUUCCUAUAAACCAAGAGAGACUAACUAAAGGGUCGUCGGUUGCCGUUAGUUAGUCUAUUACCUAUCUGUUUUGUCCAUUGCAACCACUCGCUUCCACCAAUAGGAUUGCUUUAUUUCCCUUUUGUCCUCUUAGUUUAUCAAUUUAAAUAGCCAGAUCGCAGGUAAAUUUUUCCAAUUGAUAGACAAAGCUAUAGACAAAGAAGGCAAAGGUAAAAAAGAGCGAUCUCACUGGUUGAAACGAGUGGCUGAAAUGUGCGAAGAAACAGUCAAGUAAUAGAAUGUCUAGCGGCAACUCAUAAGAGACUCAAUAACAGUGGCGUGGCUUCCUUUGCGAUAUAUCGAUGGAUCUGCCUUUUAAACCUAUGUAAAAGGAUCGAUAGACAGGGUGUUACCAGUGGCGUGGCGUGAAUUGCGAUGUAUCGAUUGUUAUGCCAUUUAAACCUAUGGUAAAGAAUCGAUUAUUAAGGCGUCCGCUGCGAACACCCUGUUUAUCGAUCCUUUUCCAAGGGUUUAAAUGGCAUAACAAUCGAUAUAUCGCAAGGCACGCCACGCCACUGGGUGUUACUAGGUGUUCGCAACGAACACCUUAAUAAUCGAUUCUUUACCAUAGCUCCAAAUGGGGAAACAUCUAUAUUACCGGUGACAUUUUUAAAUCUGACUCGUAACUAUUAACUGUUACCGGGUACAUUUUUAGCCCUGAGUCCGAAAAUGACCCCCGUUAUGCUAGGUCAGAUCAGAGGCGGAUCCAGCACUUUGGCAACACCGUAUUGCCUCCAUUUAAACCUAUGGUAGAUAAUCGAUUCUCGUCGGAGCACCUGGCUCCUCCAAGAAUCGAUACAUUUCCAUAGGUUUAAAUAGAGAAAAGACAAUGUUGUCGAUUUACUGGAUCCGCCAAUGGGUCAGAUCGAUUUUCCCCGGAAAAAUAGGAAUUUUCCCUAAAACUCGAGCUUUUUUGGAGGAAAACCAAUUUACCGGAAAAUCUGUGUAAGAUUGGGAAAAAUUACGGUCAUUUUUGGAUUCAGCAGCCAAAAUUAGCGACCCUGUUUUGCAUGCCUAAUGUAGUUAUUUUUCUGUUCCAAAUAUCAAGGUUUUUCUGAACAAGUGCUCCUUAUCGCCCAUAUAAGACCAUGGUCUUACCACUGACCACUGGUCCAAUUGUUUUGCGUCGGAAAAGAGGGGAAAAUUUGGUUACUCAGGCAACAAGUGGAGUUAUUCCCACUCAAUUUUUGCCGCUGAGGCCGAGCAUGAUCUUUGUUUUCAUUCAAAACCUCUGGAAAAUCAAGAUUCCAAAAUGAGGGGAUUUUUUCAGCUUUUGUGAACCGAAAAAAAUGCAUUAUUUUUAAAAAAUCAAUUUUCGAAAAUGUGGUAGUUUUUGGAAGAAAACGAAGGUCAUAUUCGGCUUUAGAGGCAAAAAUUGAGUUGAAUCAUUUCCUAUUUUUGCCUGAGAAAAAAAAACGUUCCCCUCUUUUCUAACGCAAAACAAUCGGACGAGUUUAACAUGAUGUUUAUGGGCGAUGAGGAGCACUUGUCCGGAAAAACCUCGAUAUUAGGAACAGAAAGGGAACUAUAAUAGGCAUACAAAACAUGGUUGCAAAUUUUGGCUGCAAAAUCCAAAAGUGACCUUAGUUUUUCUCAAUCAAGAGUUCAGUAUUUCUCCAUCGUGCAAAAAAUUUUCCGGAAAAUUGAUUUUUCUCCAAAAAAGCUCAAUUUUUAGGGAAAAUUCCGAUUCUUCCGGGAAGAAUCGAGCUGACCCAGCACAACAAGGGUCGUUUUUGGACUCAGCGCUACAAAUUUACACCGUAACAGUCAAUAGUUAGGAGGAAAAGUUACUCGUGUUUACCAGUGUAAUCGACCAUUCACGUCGUGCCACAGCUCAAUAACCGCCGGUCUCGACCAAUAGGAUUUCUCCAUUUCCCCUCUGUCUUCUUUGUGUAGCAAUUUCAAUAAUCAGCCCGCUGGUAGUGCUUUUCUGUCCAUCUGUGUCCUGUUUUUCAGUUUGUACACUGACUCUUCCCUGGAUCUAAUGCAUGCUCAUUCCCUUGUUUUAAUUUUUUACUUUUGGUUUUUACUCCGGUUGAGUAUAGGCUUGCAAUAAUUGGCCCGAAACGAUCUGGCUGUGUUGCCUUACAUAUUUUAGCCUCGUUGGUAUUACAAGUUUUAUCUGUCUAUUUCUGUUUUUUUUUUUGUUGAGACUAUACCCUAUAUUGACGCUAUAUCUUGAAUUCUUUCCAUACAAUACCGGGGAGGGGGGGGGGUCCCUUUGUGAAAUACGUAACACUUUAAAAAGGGAGAGGAAAUCUGAUUCCGCGUUACGGGGGGUGGGGGGUCAAAUCUGCGUUACGUAAAACUUUACGCUGUAAUUAUUCACCUUUUUAUUGAAGUAAUUGUUACAAACUGAUUGCGCUAGACGCACGAGUCAUUUAGACAGUCAGUUGGCUUUUUUUAGCCAACGUGCGUUAAAAAUCAGCAUUAUUGAAUUAAUUCUUGUUUUGAUUAUUUUUUUCUUUGAUUAGAGUAUCUAAAGAAUUUUUGGGCCACUUUAAUUUUCUGCCUUCAUUUUUUGAAAAUAAAGAAAAUUUAAUUGAAAAAUUGAGGUCUAGGCGAUACUGGAGGCGGGUCAGGGGGAGCGUUAGGUAUUUUUUAUGGUGAUAUAAACUUAUGUUCUAGUGCAUCACAGUGAGAAAGGGGUCCAAAAAAUCUUAUUUGUAUUUAUUAUACAUAUUUCAUGAAUGACCCUUGGAUGUCCUGCAUGUAUGAGUAUGAAAAUAUCGGCCACCUCUAAAUAACCAAAAGUUUCCCUGAAAAGUAGAGAGUGAAUUUUUUAGUGGCAAACGGAAAGUUGGGUCCUUGUAGUGAUAUAAGAUUUUCAAUUUAUUAUUUUUGAUUUAAUAAUCGUAUGUUGAUUUAAUUCACAUUUUCAUUACAAGCUGUGCGUUGCGUAGGAGUAAAGGCGUAGAUGCGGAUGUAUCCAUUGUCAAGGAGGAAGCUUUAGACAAAGCCAUAAACAAUGGACGGGUGUAGACAUGAUUGCCGUGGUGAGGAAGAACGCCGUAGGAACAUUCAAGAGUUGCCAAUAAUUUCCUUUGAUAAAAUGUUUGUUUUUAAGGAGUGUUAUGAAUAUUUUUUCUUGACAUUUUCAGGCAAUUUAGACCUAAUUACGAGUAAAAUUCUCCAAAAAAUUUGAAGAAAACAUCCACCAAUAUCCCUCAAAAUUCGCGUUUCAUUCAAGAGGAUGUGACAACGUCUAUAGGUUCUCACGGCUUUCUUCCUCAGCACGGCAUAGUAUUGACAUCGACACUGCGAAGGAGAUAACCAAAUAAACAUCCGUUGUGAUAGACAUAGCUGUGCGGAGAUACUUUCUGCUUCAUAGACACAGUCGUUGCCGAGGAAGCAAAACCAUAGAGGCAGUCUGUGCUUUAGACAUGGCUAUAGACAUGGAGGUUUCCACGGCAACGGUGGAAUUUUUUUUAAUUCAUAAUGUAACAGAUAGAAUGAACACACCAAAAUUAUUAGGGAGGUUCUAAUGAACUCACUCACAGAUCCUCAUAAAUGAGAGAAAAAGGCAGGGGAUGUUCAAUUAACAGUGGCGAGACGUGGAUGAUCGAUUAUCGAUAUUUUCCCCCAUUUGAAGUCGUGGUAAAAAAAUCCAUUGUUAAGAUUAUCGAUCCUUCCCCAUACAUUUAAAUGGCAAAUCAAUCUUGUAUAUGUAUCCCAAAGCACGCCACUCCACUGUUUAUAAUCACGUCCGCUGAUGACACUCGCAAUUUACGUCAGUUAAGUUAUAUCUGAAAACUCCUUCAUGUAAAAAAGUGAGUUUGAUUUACUGAUAUUCUUACUAAAAUUAUUGAAAAAAAUCUAUAAGUCCAGCGUUCCUCUCUGAUUUUUGCUUGAUGUCAUGCAGUUUCAAUUACCCCUCCUUCAGUGCACGCGCGGCGUAAUUUGUGGACACCUCCCAAGCGGACAUAAUCACCAUUGAAUUAAUUAUGGUAGAAAAUAUUUAUUUGCACAGCUUUAUAAACCAAGGAUUUUGUUAAUUAUUAAUUUUGAUGUAAUUAUAAGGCAAAACCACAAAAUUCGUCAAUUUUUCAAUUCGUUUUUGCUUCUUUUGUUUCUGUUUUAUUUCAAAAGACCUUUUUUAUUUAAUAUUUAAAGUCUUUCGAUUUCUUUGUGCUAACGUAACUAAUUUUAAGUAUGUAAAAAUGUAAAAAAAUAGACGAGAAUAAAUUUGAUUUUAAUUUGAAUGUUUUU